GGUGAGAUGGUGUAGUGGUUUGAGUGUUGGACUAUGACUCUGGAGAACUGGGUUCGAAACACUGCUUAGCCA
Phrynosoma platyrhinos (Desert horned lizard) is the source of this 72-nucleotide non-coding RNA. The record is from the annotation of a GenBank genome assembly. NCBI's taxonomy places the organism in Eukaryota, Metazoa, Chordata, Lepidosauria, Squamata, Phrynosomatidae.